RNAcentral lists this ribosomal RNA (194 nucleotides) under uncultured bacterium. RNAcentral describes it as "partial 16S ribosomal RNA". It matches the Rfam family "Bacterial small subunit ribosomal RNA", at positions 1307 to 1500 of the family's 1533-position model. The record is from RNAcentral.
GCAACUCGACUGCAUGAAGUCGGAAUCGCUAGUAAUCGCGGAUCAGCAUGCCGCGGUGAAUACGUUCCCGGGCCUUGUACACACCGCCCGUCACACCAUGAGAGUCGGGAACACCCGAAGUCCAUAGCCUAACCGCAAGGGGGGCGCGGCCGAAGGUGGGUUCGAUAAUUGGGGUGAAGUCGUAACAAGGUAAC